Molecule: long non-coding RNA, 1792 nt
Organism: Nerophis ophidion (straightnose pipefish)
Lineage: Eukaryota; Metazoa; Chordata; Actinopteri; Syngnathiformes; Syngnathidae
Exons: 4
Source: RefSeq, a predicted model, not a curated record
GGAAUGAAUGUUGUUUACUUCCUCUUCUAUGGGACUUUUGAUGAUGAGGUAUCACUCCGCCAGAAAAGUAGAGACCUGUGUAUGUGUUUCAUGUUUCCAACAAAGGAAUGAAUGUUGUUUACUUCCUCUUCUAUCGGACUUUUGAUGAUGAGGUAUCACUCCGCCAGAAAAGUAGAGACCUGUGUAUGUGUUUCAUGUUUCCAACAAAGGACGAGGAAGGCGGCCUGCCGUCGGCGUCUGAGAUUAGCUAGCGGCCGCGCACAAUGACAGCUCUCGUCUUGUUUGCGGCCAAGGAUCUGGCACGGCGGCGCUCUUGGGCGCGCUGUGGCGGGACGGCAAUGAAUAGAGACGGGGGAGUGUUGGCAAACAAUACGCACGCCGUGACUCCUUCUACACAUCCAGGCUUUUCCUCGCCCGGCCGGCCUCCGACGACGACGACAACAAUGACCCACAUUCUGCUCGGGCAACCCACCUGGCGGCGUCUGAUAAACGCCUGCCCGCCGUACAUUACGUGCGCCUGAAGGCAUCACUAAUCAGCACACCUUUAGUUGACUAGAGGUCCUCCGUUCCCACGUUGACGUUCUGUAUGUCUCGUCAUUCCUUGUUCCUCCUGCUUCCCGGACUGCCUCUUCUGCUUGGACACGGACCUUCCUACGCCCCGCUAUAGCCCCCCGACUUCCUGCUUGCCUCAUGGACAUUCGAGCCUCCCUUUCCCCUCCGGGACUCCCGCCUCUCGCUCAAAACCCCCGGUAACACACAACAGCUAAUCUCCACAAAUAGCCACACACCUUACACCCUUUUGUAUUUAGUCACACUUAAUUCUCUAGUUUAAAAUAUUAUUGUUUUGCAAUUAUAUAUAUAAUAAAUCAUUAAUCUUAACUAUGCCCUCUUGUGGUCUGUGCCGUCAACUCUCCUUAUGUACAUAACACCUGUCUCUUCAUCCGCAUCUCCUCCAGUCUCUCCAAAUGUACUCUGGUGUGGCAGAGAUCCAGCAGCUGGUCUCCAUAAUAAUAAUAAUAAUAAUAAUAAUAAUGAAUUACAUUAGUAACGCACUUAACUUUUGUUAAAAUCUCAGACUGCUACAAAGAAUAUGAAAAAAGGUAAUCAAUUAAAAUAGAAAGUUAGAAUAUAUAAUAGAAAAUUUUAAUGUAAAUGAAAACAUGAAAAACACUAGAUAAACACUACAUAAAACAUAGAAAUAUAGAAAUACAAAAAAAUAAUAAUAAUAAUGAAAAUAAAAAAAAUAAAUAAAAAAUAGCCAACAGGCAGGGAGAUCCGGAAGUUGACAAAAAACUUGUUGCCGUCACAGAACAACAUUUUUUUUUUUUUUUUUUAAACUGCAUGAUAUCCUGCUCGAUGCUAAUCUUUUCUCCCUUUUUGAUUAGGUAUCAAAGAACAUCAGAGACUGUUUGAUUCCGCUCGUCUUUUCCUUCUAACCGCUGCACAAAUAGUCUCUUUGUAAAGAUGCUAUUGUGCCUACGUUAUCGUGUUCUACGUUGAAGCGCAGCAAAGGCGGAGAACAGUCAUCUGUAUCAGUGCGGCGAUAUCAGCACGUGGAAUCAGCGUCCGUGUUGGACCGGAUCUGCCAGCGAGGAACCAACAAUCUAAUGAAAGCUGGUCCCCCUAAAGAGCGCCGCUAAUGAGUCGCAGCCUUCUAGACAUUUCCAUUUGGUCUUCUGGCCAUGUUUUCUAAUCAGGCAUUAUGUCUCAUUAAGUCUGGCAAAGAAGGACACACACUUUACAUUAUCCAAAACACACACUACAUCAUCCUCAACACACACUGUACAUCAUC